This 610-nucleotide ribosomal RNA is filed under the name Streptomyces sp. SB3Y. RNAcentral's name for it is "bacterial SSU rRNA". It matches the Rfam family "Bacterial small subunit ribosomal RNA", at positions 28 to 653 of the family's 1533-position model. Lineage: Bacteria; Bacillati; Actinomycetota; Actinomycetes; Kitasatosporales; Streptomycetaceae. The record is from RNAcentral.
GACGAACGCUGGCGGCGUGCUUAACACAUGCAAGUCGAACGAUGAACCCGCUUCGGUGGGGGAUUAGUGGCGAACGGGUGAGUAACACGUGGGCAAUCUGCCCUGCACUCUGGGACAAGCCCUGGAAACGGGGUCUAAUACCGGAUAAUACCUUCCCUCGCAUGGGGGUGGGUUCAAAGCUCCGGCGGUGCAGGAUGAGCCCGCGGCCUAUCAGCUUGUUGGUGAGGUAGUGGCUCACCAAGGCGACGACGGGUAGCCGGCCUGAGAGGGCGACCGGCCACACUGGGACUGAGACACGGCCCAGACUCCUACGGGAGGCAGCAGUGGGGAAUAUUGCACAAUGGGCGAAAGCCUGAUGCAGCGACGCCGCGUGAGGGAUGACGGCCUUCGGGUUGUAAACCUCUUUCAGCAGGGAAGAAGCGCAAGUGACGGUACCUGCAGAAGAAGCGCCGGCUAACUACGUGCCAGCAGCCGCGGUAAUACGUAGGGCGCAAGCGUUGUCCGGAAUUAUUGGGCGUAAAGAGCUCGUAGGCGGUCUGUCGCGUCGGAUGUGAAAGCCCGGGGCUUAACCCCGGGUCUGCAUUCGAUACGGGCAGACUAGAGUGUGGUA